Molecule: long non-coding RNA, 438 nt
Organism: Haliotis rubra (blacklip abalone)
Lineage: Eukaryota; Metazoa; Mollusca; Gastropoda; Lepetellida; Haliotidae
Exons: 3
Source: RefSeq, a predicted model, not a curated record
UUAAUUGUUAAAAUUCCAUUUUUAGCCCAAUGCCUGAUAAAGUGAUUUGGGUUUUUGAAAUUAUUAUUCAGCCAUAAAGGUUGUGCUAAAAUUCCUUUAAUGUUGUCUGCUUCUAUGGUAUUCUUAUUACAGUAUAAUUUCCAUGCCAAUAAAGCAUCUUUCCAAAAAGGAUGAUCAAUUUCAAUAAUAUUCUGAAAAUUUGCUCCAUAUUUUAGUAUAUCAUUUAAUGGAAAAUUGCAUGGGUUAUUCAUAUUUGUUUUUCUCAAAUAGAGUCUGAGUGUGGAUAAUUUCCUGGCAUUAACAAAGGUUUUAAUAUCUAUCAUGCGUAAACCCCUUCUGUAUAAUCCUUUUUCAAAGUGCUCCGUUUAAUUUUAUCAUUUUUGUCGUUCCAAAUUAAUCUGAAAAAUAGUCUCUCAAGGGAAGAAGAGAUCAGAGGAA